Molecule: ribosomal RNA, 1083 nt
Filed under: Triticum aestivum (bread wheat)
Lineage: Eukaryota; Viridiplantae; Streptophyta; Magnoliopsida; Poales; Poaceae
Description: partial small subunit ribosomal RNA
Source: RNAcentral
AUGGCAGAGCUGGUGGCCACCAUGGUAGUUGGGCCACUGCUGUCUAUUGUGAAGGAGAAGGCGUCCGGCUACCUGCUGGACCAGUACAAGGUGAUGGAGGGUAUGGAGCAGCAGCACAGGAUCCUCAAACGCAAGCUGCUGGCCAUCCUGGACGUCGUCGCCGAUGCUGAGCAGGCGGCGUCCCACAGAGAAGGGGCCAAGGCUUGGCUUGAGGAGGUCAAGAGGGUGGCUUAUGAGGCGAACGAGAUCUUCGACGAGUUCAAGUAUGAGGCGCUCCGCCGCGAAGCCAAGAAGAAUGGGCACUACAGCAAGCUCGGCUUCGAGGUAGUAAAACUCUUCCCCACCCACAACCGUUUUGCAUUCCGUGACAAAAUGGGGAAGAAGCUCUGCAGCAUUGUGCAGGCCAUUGAGGUUCUUGUGGCUGAGAUGAAUGCCUUUGGGUUUAAAUAUCAGCAGCAAGUACCAGCAUCCAUGCAGUGGAGGCAGACAGAUCCUGUUAUCUUCGAUCCAAAGAAAAUCAUCAGCAGAUCAAGAGACCAAGAUACUUCAAAUAUUGUUGAUAUACUACUUGGUCAAGUCAGCAAUGAAAGUCUCAUGGUUGUUCCCAUUGUUGGAAUAGGGGGGCUAGGCAAGACCACCUUAGCGCAGCUCAUUUACAAUGAACCUGAAAUUCAGAAGCAUUUCGAGUUGCUGAUCUGGGUUUGUGUCUCUGACAACUUCGAUGUUGAUUCUCUGGCUAAAAAAAUUGCUGAAGCAGCAAGUCCCAACAAAGGCCAAGUGCAAGAUGUACUAAGUGGACGCAGAUUCCUCCUUGUAUUAGAUGACGUGUGGAACCGAGAGAGUGAUAAGUGGGAAAAGCUCAAGGCCCGUCUAACACAUGGUGCCAAGGGUAGUGUGGUUCUGACAACUACUCGUGAUGAAGGAGUUGCAAAAAUAAUGGGUACAGUUAAAGCCUAUAAUCUCGCACCUUUGGAGGAUAAUUUCAUACAGGAAAUUAUCGAGACGAGAGCAUUCAGAUUGCAGAAAGAUGAAGAAAGGCCUGUCGUGCUAGUUAAUAUGGUUGGUGAAAUUGUCAAGAGAUGA